UGGAUCCAUUGAUGAGAUGUACUGUAGACGGCAUUAGACACGAAUAAAGACCAAAAAUAAGUUAAAAUUUUAUUCAUUAAUUGUACUGUUCAAUGAUGCGCACCAAACAUGUCAUCAAGUAUGAGAAUUUGUGGAUUUUCAUGAUCAAAUCUGGCUUGUGUGCUCAUGAAUCUGAAACAAGAAGUGCAUCCCACAUUGUAUCCCUGCCCAGAGAUGGCAUUCUGCUUAACUGAACUAUAUCGAUAUCUGAUAACCCUUUCUGAAUAUUCUUCUUUUCAUCGAUCACCUGAUACAGUGGCAAAUUAAUUGAUUUAAUGUGAACAUGAUUAUUUCCCUGUCACCUACCAAAUAUGCUGGGGGAAGGGGGUGGUGACACAAAAUUCUUAAGUGCACCGACAUUGCACAACAGGUGUUGCAGCUGCAUUGAAUCAUAAAAACAUUGUGAGCUCUGGGUAAGGGAGAAUAUUCAGAUUCAAAAUUAGUCUAAGAACAUUCGCCCCUCCACUUUUCCCAUCCUCCACCCUCCUAUAAUUCAUUGCUUUACCACUACGAAAAAAAUUACUUACUGGUGCUUUUAAAUGCUUUAAAAUCUUCACCUAGAUGCUUUUUUUAAUAUGGAGCAAAAUCAUCUGCAAAUGCUUCGCAAAAUAUGUCCACAUUUACUGCUUUACCUCAUUGAUUGGCUGAAUACAUACUAUCAUGACAAAACUGAGAAGCUUCACCAGAAAAGGAUUAUAAAGUCCACGACGUCUUUGCCUGAAGGUAGUCUUCUUCUCCUCAUCCUUCAUUUUUUAAUAUAUAUAUUUUCAAAUUUUUGCUUAUGUUGUUUGAGUUGUAAAUUUUCUUGACAUGGAGUAUAAAUGUGGACAAUUAUGUGUAGGACUCAUCUCUAGUCGGAAAAUAAAGUGGUCCCCAUUAUUUUAAAAGUUAAAACUAAUUAUUUAUUUUAGUCACUAUGUUUUGAGUUAAUUAAGAG
This 976-nucleotide long non-coding RNA is filed under the name Olea europaea (common olive). RNAcentral's name for it is "long non-coding RNA (OEUR_LNC010698)". Lineage: Eukaryota; Viridiplantae; Streptophyta; Magnoliopsida; Lamiales; Oleaceae. The record is from RNAcentral.